Molecule: long non-coding RNA, 1570 nt
Organism: Dreissena polymorpha
Lineage: Eukaryota; Metazoa; Mollusca; Bivalvia; Myida; Dreissenidae
Exons: 2
Source: RefSeq, a predicted model, not a curated record
UCAUGCCUCAAAAUUAAAGCAAUUCUUGAUUAUUCUAAUUAAAAGAAUAAUUAUUAUUCUUAGACUUGUAUCUUAAAAACUUUUGGUGAAUACUGGCCCAGGUCUUGGGCUUUUGAUUUAGGGCUAGAGGAAACUUGUAAAUACUAGUCCAAGUGGGAAAGUUUUCAGCAAAUAUUCAGGACACAAUCAAUAAUGAUCAUUGAUGUAAGGAAUAAUACUAUUAAGGAGCGAAUUGUAGUGUCAGUCACCAAACAGAAAUGACAUUUGCAUACACACAGAAUCCAUUGAUACCUAGUUUCUGGUUAAACAACAUAAUUCAGUGGUUUAUAGCCUUUUCAACGUGCUUAAUGACAAGACCUCAGCUAGUUUAAGAGCUUUUGGUGAAAAGCAACAAGCUUUAAUAGACAAAGGUGUAGAAAAAAAUAAGGUGCAGACAUGCAUGAAGUCGGCAAACAUUCAGUAAUCUGCUUGAUUCUUUUUAUACGCCCGUCUAUGACGGGACGUAUUAUGGUAUACCCCGCGUCCGUCUGUCCGUCCGUCCGUCUGUCCGUCCGUAUGUCUGUUAAUGUCGUACGCUACGUCAAAUAUCCUUCGAUGGAUUUUUUUCAAAUUUCAACACAAUCUUAAUAUUGAUAAACCCUGAUCCCCUUUCGUUUUUGACGGAAUUCUGAAUUGUCGUUCCAGAGUUAUGGGACUUUGUUCGUCAAAAUUUCGUUAUUUCAUUGAAUGUCCUACUGUAGCUAUAUAAAAAUGUUAAAGUUGUUAUAACUUUGGUAUGCUUGGACCUAGAGUCUUGAAACUUGACAUGAAGGUUGGCCAGAACUAGUAAGUAACCCCUGGACAUUUCAAGGUCAUUCAUUUGAAGGUCAAGGUCACUGUGACCUUGAAUGUAAAAAUGUUAAAGUUCUUAUUUCAUGUUAUAACUUUGGUAUGCUUGUACCUAGAGUCUUCAAACUUGAAAUAAAGAUUGGCCAGUACUAGAAGAUGACCACUGGUCAUUUCAAUGUCAUUCAUUUGAAGGUCAAGGUCACUGUGACCUUAAAUGUUAUUGUUGUUCAUGUAUCCUACCGUAGCUCAAAUAUCCCCCGAUGGAUUUUUUAUACGCCCGUCUAUGACGGGACGUAUUAUGGUAUACCCCGCGUCCGUCUCUCCGUCCGUCCGUCCGUCCGUCCGUCCGUCCGUCUGUUAAUGUCGUACGCUACGUCAAAUAUCCUUUGACAGAUUUUCUUCAAAUUUUAACACAAUCUUAAUAUUGAUAAACCCUGAUCCCCUUUCGUUUUUGACGGAAUUCUGAAUUGUCGUUCCAGAGUUAUGGGACUUUGUUCGUCAAAAUUUCGUGAUUUCAUUGAAUGUCCUACUGUAGCUCAAAUAUCCUUCGAUGGAUUUUUUUCAAAUUUCAACACAAUCUUAAUAUUGAUAAACCCUGAUCCCCUUUCGUUUUUGACGGAAUUCUGAAUUGUCGUUCCAGAGUUAUGGGACUUUGUUCGUCAAAAUUUCGUGAUUUCCAUGCUCAUGUACUUAUAAAAUAAACCAUGUAUUCAAAUACAAAUAAACUGAAGUAAAAAAAUGA